ACCAGACUCCUACGGGAGGCAGCAGUGGGGGAUAUUGCACAAUGGGGGGAACCCUGAUGCAGCGACGCCGCGUGGGUGAAGAAGCGCCUCGGCGCGUAAAGCCCUGUCAGCAGGGAAGAAAAUGACGGUACCUGAAGAAGAAGCCCCGGCUAACUACGUGCCAGCAGCCGCGGUAAUACGUAGGGGGCAAGCGUUAUCCGGAUUUACUGGGUGUAAAGGGGGCGCAGACGGCGAUGCAAGCCAGGAGUGAAAGCCCGGGGCCCAACCCCGGGACUGCUCUUGGAACUGCGUGGCUGGAGUGCAGGAGGGGCAGGCGGAAUUCCUGGUGUAGCGGUGAAAUGCGUAGAUAUCAGGAGGAACACCGGUGGCGAAGGCGGCCUGCUGGACUGCAACUGACGUUGAGGCCCGAAAGCGUGGGGAGCAAACAGGAUUAGAUACCCGAGUACC
This 447-nucleotide ribosomal RNA is filed under the name uncultured bacterium. Its description in RNAcentral is "partial 16S ribosomal RNA". It matches the Rfam family "Bacterial small subunit ribosomal RNA", at positions 330 to 794 of the family's 1533-position model. The record is from RNAcentral.